Molecule: non-coding RNA, 2113 nt
Organism: Microcebus murinus (gray mouse lemur)
Lineage: Eukaryota; Metazoa; Chordata; Mammalia; Primates; Cheirogaleidae
Source: RefSeq, a predicted model, not a curated record
AUGGCGAAGACGCACGCGGGCACGCGCGUGUGGGCGCGGGGUCCCGUCGGUCGGUCCACGUGCGCGCGUGACAGCGGAGACAGAUAUAUUUGGACAUCAAAUCUGAACACCCAGUCACAGAGACACACACACAUCCGCACACACCCCCCCACAGGCGCAGGCCGCAGGCCCCGCCCCACACCCCGCCCCGGUCCCUCUUGGUCCCCGCGAAGCGACGCGCCUGCCCCGGUGUCUCUGCAGAGCUCUCUCCUGGCCCCUCGGGCCUCCCUGCCGCCCACGAACACAGGCGUGCACUCACAGCGUCCAUGCAUCCAGACACACGAUACCUCGUUCCACUUUGGCGUCACGGGGGGCUGGAGGCAGCCCCCCCACCAACACUUGAGGCCAAAGGACCCCCCCCUGCCCCCGGGGCUGAGCCUCCCUGGGCCAAGGCCGCGGAGCCUCCCCUACUAUUUUUUCGUCUUUCCAGAUAGGUGAGGGCAGUGGACACAGCCCCCAUCCCGAGCUCCGGCCCCAGCUUCUGUCUGGACUUUGCUUCUCCCUGAUUUUGUUUUUAAAAUAAUAAUAAUAAUAAAAUUCCAACAGAAGCCACAGGCCAGAGCCCCGGGGAGCCCCUGCACCACUCCCUGCACCCCUCAGCGGGCCCAAGUCAGAACUGAGAAUUGCAAACCCCCGACUUUAGCUAUAGUUGAGUUGCCUUCCUGCCCCCGACCCCCCUGGUGUCCCCACGUUUGGUGUCUGGCCAUGGCCCUAUCUGAUCGUCCAGCUCUCUCUCCCCUCCCCCUCCCGGUGUUGUUAUUAAACGUCUGUGGAGCUUCUGCUGCAAGGAACAAAAAGAAAAAAAAAAUCAAAAAAGUGACAAAAAACACAAAGAAGAGAAGAAAAAAAAGCAACAAAAAAAAAAAGGAAAAAACACACACAGAAGAGAUUUAAAAAAAAAAAAAAGGAAAAAAAAAAGACAUAAACUGGCACCAGUUAACUUUCUUGUACUUUUUUGCUGAAUUUAGCUUCUUGUAGUUUUAACUUAUUGCUAUGUUAACUAUUUAUUAUUCCUGUUGCCCUGUAAGGACAUUUGUGUAUAUUUCUGUUACUUCAUCCAGUUUGCAAGUUAAAGGAACGAUGGUGUUCUCUUUGUUUCUUUAAGUUUUGCCGAGACGUGGUUAUGCCUAAUUUAUUUAUAAAAGGGGAAGUGGAAUCAUUAAAGUUAAUAAUAAUUAUUAAUAACAGUAAUGGUAGCCGAGUGGCACCCGGGAGCGCGUGCUCCGUGGGGCAGUCCCCGUGGCCAGCGACGUCCGGGGUCUUUAAUGGGAUUACUUUUGCUCUUGUCUUGAGAAUUUUUUCAGUCUAUUUAGCUGGUGAAAACCCUAGCUUGUUCUUGAUACACGAACCUAUUUAUUCUUGUGGUUUUAAGUCCUCCCUGCCCUCUUCCCUCUCCCCUCCAGCAGGGCAGGGACCCCCGAGGGUCCACCCCUCUCCCCUGCUGUUUCUUGGGGCUCUCUCCUCUCCGCCCUCCGCACGCGGGAACACGCGUGGCCGCGUGGCAAGCCAAGCGUGCAGGAGGCGUCCGAGCAAUAAAGGCUGGCUUUGUCCCCCACCCUGGGGGGCUGGGCUUCAGAGAGGGGGCACCUCCCCACACCCCCAACCGAGGCCUCGGCCCCCUGCCGCCCCCAAGACUGGGAGGGGACUUCUUUUUCUAAAACACUAAACUCAGCCCAGCCAGGCCCCCACCCUGGAGGCCAGCCCCUCACCCCAGGGGGCCAGGCCAGGGCUCCCAGGGGACGGGCUCGGGUCUUCCACGUCCCUGGGGGGCAGAGGCAGGGCCAGUGGGGAGGGGGCACAGCCCCUCCAGCCCUCCCCUUCAUCCUGUUAUUUAUUCGGAAGGUUUCAAAUCAUGACAGAGUCCAUGUUGGAGGUGAUAAUGAACUGUUUAAAAAAAAAAAAAAAAAGACAAAAAAAAAAAGAGAAACACACGACCCGACACCAAGAACACUUUGCGUUGCGUUUAGACUAUUUAUUACCGGGAUUACAGGCCUGGCCGCGGUAACAGACUUUUACAUGGAAUUGUUUAAUUAUUUGUACUUUUCAUGCCAGAAAAUAAAAGUUCAGAAUCUUA